GAUAAACGCUGGCGGCGCACAUAAGACAUGCAAGUCGAACGGACGUUAACUCGAAGUUUGCUUUGAGAGCGGUUAGUGGCGGACUGGUGAGUAACGCGUGAGCAACCUGCCUACUAGAGGGGAAUAACAGUGAGAAAUCACUGCUAAUACCGCAUAUGCUUACACUAUCACAUGAUAGAGUGAGGAAAGGAGUAAUCCAACUAGUAGAUGGGCUCGCGUCUGAUUAGCUAGUUGGCAGGGUGAUAGCCUACCAAGGCGACGAUCGGUAGCCGACCUGAGAGGGUGAUCGGCCACAUUGGAACUGAGAUACGGUCCAA
This 317-nucleotide ribosomal RNA is filed under the name uncultured bacterium. Its description in RNAcentral is "bacterial SSU rRNA". It matches the Rfam family "Bacterial small subunit ribosomal RNA", at positions 28 to 334 of the family's 1533-position model. The record is from RNAcentral.